UUACGGCUAUAUCACCUUGAAACACCGGCUGUCAUCCGAUAGCCUAAGUUAAGCAACGUUGAGUCUGAUCAGCAUUAUGAUGGAUAACCCCUGGGGAAUACCAGGUGAUGUAAG
Molecule: non-coding RNA, 114 nt
Organism: Acanthosepion pharaonis
Lineage: Eukaryota; Metazoa; Mollusca; Cephalopoda; Sepiida; Sepiidae
Source: the annotation of a GenBank genome assembly